GUCGAACGCUGGCGGCGUGCUUAACACAUGCAAGUCGAACGGUGAAGCUCCAGCUUGCUGGAGUGGAUCAGUGGCGAACGGGUGAGUAACACGUGAGCAACCUGCCCCUGACUCUGGAAUAAGCGCUGGAAACGGCGUCUAAUACUGGAUACGAGAAGGGUCCGCAUGGGCACUUUCUGGAAAGUUUUUCGGUUGGGGAUGGGCUCGCGGCCUAUCAGCUUGUUGGUGAGGUAAUGGCUCACCAAGGCGACGACGGGUAGCCGGCCUGAGAGGGCGACCGGCCACACUGGGACUGAGACACGGCCCAGACUCCUACGGGAGGCAGCAGUGGGGAAUAUUGCACAAUGGGCGAAAGCCUGAUGCAGCGACGCCGCGUGAGGGAUGACGGCCUUCGGGUUGUAAACCUCUUUCAGCAGGGAAGAAGCGAAAGUGACGGUACCUGCAGAAGAAGCACCGGCUAACUACGUG
RNAcentral lists this ribosomal RNA (468 nucleotides) under uncultured bacterium. Its description in RNAcentral is "partial 16S ribosomal RNA". It matches the Rfam family "Bacterial small subunit ribosomal RNA", at positions 28 to 507 of the family's 1533-position model. The record is from RNAcentral.